Molecule: ribosomal RNA, 465 nt
Filed under: Vreelandella stevensii
Lineage: Bacteria; Pseudomonadati; Pseudomonadota; Gammaproteobacteria; Oceanospirillales; Halomonadaceae
Description: partial 16S ribosomal RNA
Rfam family: Bacterial small subunit ribosomal RNA
Source: RNAcentral
CCUACGGGUGGCUGCAGUGGGGAAUAUUGGACAAUGGGGGGAACCCUGAUCCAGCCAUGCCGCGUGUGUGAAGAAGGCCCUCGGGUUGUAAAGCACUUUCAGUGAGGAAGAACGCCUGGUGGUUAAUACCCAUCAGGAAAGACAUCACUCACAGAAGAAGCACCGGCUAACUCCGUGCCAGCAGCCGCGGUAAUACGGAGGGUGCGAGCGUUAAUCGGAAUUACUGGGCGUAAAGCGCGCGUAGGUGGCUUGAUAAGCCGGUUGUGAAAGCCCCGGGCUCAACCUGGAAACGGCAUCCGGAACUGUCAAGCUAGAGUGCAGGAGAGGAAGGUAGAAUUCCCGGUGUAGCGGUGAAAUGCGUAGAGAUCGGGAGGAAUACCAGUGGCGAAGGCGGCCUUCUGGACUGACACUGACACUGAGGUGCGAAAGCGUGGGUAGCAAACAGGAUUAGAUACCCUUGUAGUC